RNAcentral lists this ribosomal RNA (108 nucleotides) under Pteropus alecto (black flying fox). The record is from RNAcentral. Lineage: Eukaryota; Metazoa; Chordata; Mammalia; Chiroptera; Pteropodidae.
AUCCAGGGCCAUGCCACCCUGAAUGCGCCUGAUCUCGGAAGCUAAGCAGGGUCGGGCUUCGUUAGUACUUGGAUGGCAGACCACCUAGGAGACCAGGUGCCGUAGGUG